This is a long non-coding RNA of Priapulus caudatus, 311 nucleotides long. RefSeq lists it as uncharacterized. The record is from RefSeq and is a predicted model, not a curated record. NCBI's taxonomy places the organism in Eukaryota, Metazoa, Priapulida, Priapulimorpha, Priapulimorphida, Priapulidae. The transcript is spliced from 3 exons.
AGGUACGCACGGUUGUUUUUGAUGGCACGCACAAAACAAACACAACAUGUCAGGCAUUCACCACAGGACAGUAAUGGAUGGACAGGAAAACAAAAGGCGCAAAUAAAAAAAAAGACCACUGGAAAUUCUUCUUCGGCUAAAAAACCACAUCGAUACCGACCAAGAACAAGAGAAAUACGCCGGCUCCAAAGUACAACUACUCUUGUGAUGAGGAAGUUGCCAUUCGCCAAAGUGGUCAGAGAGAUCGUAUUAGCACUUGGUUAUGGUGGCAUUGGAUGGCUUUGGGAAGUCAAUGCCAUACUGGCAUUACA